Molecule: ribosomal RNA, 771 nt
Filed under: Candidatus Peribacteria bacterium
Lineage: Bacteria; Candidatus Peregrinibacteriota; Candidatus Peribacteria
Description: bacterial SSU rRNA
Rfam family: Bacterial small subunit ribosomal RNA
Source: RNAcentral
AGAGUUUGAUCCUGGCUCAGAGUGAACGCUAGCGGUGCGCCUAACACAUGCAAGUCGCGCGGCCCGCAAGGGCAGCGGCGAACGGCUGCGUAACACGUUGGUACCUACCCCGCACUCAGGGAUAACCUGCCGAAAGGCGGGCUAAUACCGGAUAGUUCCCGUGAGGGUAAAGCUUCGGCGGUGCGGGAGGGGCCUGCGGCCUAUCAGUUUGUUGGCAGGGUAACGGCCUACCAAGACUAUGACGGGUAGCUGGUCUGAGAGGACGACCAGCCAGAAUGGGACUGCGACACGGCCCAUACUCCUACGGGAGGCAGCAGUGAGGAAUCUUCCGCAAUGGGCGAAAGCCUGACGGAGCGACACCGCGUGAAGGAUGAAGCCCUUUCUGGGUGUAAACUUCUGUUCUGAGGGACGAAAUUUUUGACGGUACCUCAGGAGAAAGCACCGGCUAAUUCUGUGCCAGCAGCCGCGGUAAGACAGAAGGUGCAAGCGUUACUCGGAAUUACUGGGCGUAAAGCGUCCGCAGGUCUUCCUGUAAGUCUGGCGUGAAAUCGCGGAGCUCAACUCCGCGCACGUGCCGGAAACUGCAGGAAUAGAGUCACUCAGAGGCAUCUGGAAUGCUGUGUGUAGGGGUAAAAUCCGUUGAUCCACAGUAGAACGCCAAAAGCGAAGGCAGGGUGCUGGGGGUGUACUGACACUCAUGGACGAAAGCGUGGGGAGCAAACGGGCUUAGAUACCCCGGUAGUCCACGCCCUAAACGAUGCGUGCUCGGUG